AGGCGCGGCGAGGCGGGUGGCGCGCGGCAGCAGGGUUGGGCUCUCGCCGUGAGUCGACGAAGGGAGCGCGGGCGCGCGCCCGCGUCCGCGCACUGAGAGUCGCCUCGGCCGCUCGCUUUCUCGACUCCCGCCUCGCGCCUCGAUCCUGUUCCGCCUCCCUCGGCCCUCCUGCCCGCCCCCACUCGUCGGCCCUCAGCUCAGAGACCUAAUAGGAUGGGGUCUUAGAGAAACAUCUUUUGAGCCACAGACUUCUUUGUUACCAGAAGGAAAAUGAAAGAAGAAAUUUAAAUACCACUUGAAGAGAGCUGAUCGCCACCAACUGGCCUCUGGGUGGAUUUGGCCAAUGGAAGCACCUGUAGAGGGAAGAGAGUGAGGUUAGGAUAUUUCUUCCUGCUGUCUCCGUGCUUCCCUGCAGAGAGUGUGAAGAAAUGACCCUGAAAAGCCUCUGGCAGAGGAUUCUUCUUUCAGGAUGGUGUCGCCUCCUCAGCAGCCCAUCCUCCUCCCCUGGACUCAAGCUCUCAUUCCAGUAACACUCCUUCCUCCUUCUCCAUCUUCAGGGGGAGGUUUGCCAGUCGGUGGGUUCUAAGCAUAUCUCGCUGAUUCCCCCCAACCCUGCCGACACCUCUGUAGGUCGUCCCUUCAUUAAAAUCUCUCCAUUUGAACUAUCUGAGUUUAAUUCCAUUUCCUCCUGGUAUCUCAGUGAUACACGGUAUCAGUACAAAAAUCUCGCUUCACCUUCAGAACCAACAGAUUUGAGACAUUUUAUCCUCUGUGGAACCAUUAGUUAUUUUGUCAUUGGUUGUAUCAGAAAAAAAAAUCAGGAAUGCAAAUCCUUCUUUAUUACAGAUUCAGAUUUGCAUAUUACCAAUGUUAUAUAUUUUAAACAAAACUAUUCAUCAUAAGUUUUAAAAAUUAACUACUGGAGUAGUUAAUGAAUCUGAAUGUAAUUAUGUAGCUUUCAUAAUAUUAAAGUAAAAAUACUAAAAGAAGUAUUUCUUAAAGAAGCAAAUGCUCAAUCUCCAAGUAAAUUUUAUUCUAUGCUCUUCCGGUAUAAGAAUAUGUUAAUAUCUUGAAAAAUAUCAUAUUAUUUUGUGAACUCAUAAAGCUAUUUUGAGUUUUUGUAAAAUGAAAACCUUACCAAAAUGUAUUUUAUUGUUGGAAAGCUUGACCGUUACUGCUGUUUAAUUUUUUGAGCUUGUAAACUUUAUUUGUGCAUGUUUUCAACAAAGAAGGAUUUUAUUGUUAUUACAUAAAACAGGUGAUUUCUAGAUUUUAAAAUCACAAAUUGAAAGCAAGGCACAAUAAUAUAUAUUUCAAGAUAUAGGUACUUAGGAGGCAUCCUUUUAGUCAUCUGUUCAAUGUAGCCAUCUAUUUUACACCUACUGUCUACUAUUGUUUGAGGUCCUUGCCAAAGUAUUGCAGGCUAGUUAGGAAACAUAAAACAAUUAGAAAGUAAUCUAUGACAAGUAAGCUAUCUAUAAAUGGCAAUGAAGGGUAGAACAAAUUCAAUGAAAAUAUCUAUUUAAUCCUAGUGUUUACUGGUCUAGAAGAAUAGGCUGAGUAAAUUAGUAUUUCUCUGGCUGUUGUGGUAACACAUUGCAUGCUAUAACAGUUUUAAGUAAUUACAGGUGCAUUGAAAUUUAUCUAUGGCUUUGUCAUCAUAUUCUAAAAUGUCAUGAGUACUUUUUUCUGACCUCAAUUACUAUGAAAUUGGUUUCCAAUAUUUAAUUAACCAAGAAUAUCAAGUCUAUAGGGUAUUAUUAAGGUGAGACUUCUGUAGCCUUUUCAAUAAAGACCAGAAUUUUGGAGUGCCUUGAACCUUAAUCAUUGAUCUUUAAUUCUUAUUAAGUCAACUGCCCACCUUUUAAAGACUGAGGCCCAGGAAGAGUAAGUUUCUCUGAGACAAUGCAUACAGUACAGUGCUUCUUGGGUAUUGGCUCUAAGACCAGAUGCAAAGAAAGGCUAAAAUCCCAUUUCAUUGUUCAUUAGGUGAGAACCCUUUGUUAAGCUGUGUAACCUCUGUGCAUAGUUUCCUCAUCAGCAAAGUCAGAAAAAGUAUGUACCUGAAGGACUGAUUGUAAGGCUGGGAUGAGAGAAUCCAUGUGAUCAGCCCUCACCAACAGGUGCUGCCCAGUUCAUGAGUGCUGCUGCUGUCCUGCCCAAGUACCCAGCUUGCAGAGUGCCAGAGUUAGAGUCCCAGGGGUGUUCUCCACAGCUGCAUGCUUGAUCCAGGCCUAUCAGGUGUUAUUUGUUGACGGAACCAGGCAUCAUCAGCAAACAAAACUGACAAAGCUUCCUGCCCUCUGUGGAAGGCAUCUGAGGAAGAGACUGGAUUUUGUAGCAACAUGUUAUUCUCAUUAUAAACUUUAUCAUUGGAAUACUAAAGCCAAAUCAUCCCCCAUCUCCUUGAUCAGGAUACCCACUUAAUCUAGGCAGCUACACAAUUGUGAGAGCCUUUGUUUUUUUCUGCUGAAACAUCCUUAAAAAGAUACCUCACAACCCAAGAUUUGGCUUUUCUUAAAUACGAUUUUUAAUUUUUUUCAUUUCUAUCUAGAGAUUUAAUUGGAAAUGGAAAAUCAUCAAUUUUCCAAUUAAAUGUCUGUUCCAAUCAACAUUAUACCUUUUAGGUUGUCAUUGUCAUUUUUAAGUUUAAGCAACUUUAAGGAUUUUGAAUCUGGCUGCCUGUAAAUUAAAGGUGAAAGUAAUCAUUGUGUUGGAUUGGAACAUUUUGUCAAUUGAGAGUGGUUUCCUUGUUCUUAGUGUAUGAAAAGUUUAUUUUUCUAAUGUAGAUU
This is a long non-coding RNA of Homo sapiens (human), 2792 nucleotides long. The record is from Ensembl. Lineage: Eukaryota; Metazoa; Chordata; Mammalia; Primates; Hominidae.